This 2864-nucleotide long non-coding RNA is filed under the name Sus scrofa (pig). RNAcentral describes it as "lncRNA (ENSSSCG00035079651.1)". Lineage: Eukaryota; Metazoa; Chordata; Mammalia; Artiodactyla; Suidae. The record is from RNAcentral.
GUCGGAGCCCGGCCCUGCCGGCUGGAGAGGAUCCGAAUAGUGUACGCGUUUUGGCUUGCAGGGUUUUUAAUUGUCACCGAGUGGGGUUUACUGUAGGCUGUCAAAUCAGGAGUCGUAUUUUGUUGAGUCGAAAGUGAAAUUUACCUUCGGCCGACGUGACAGAGCCUGUGCCCUCUGCUGAUUUUCCACAUCUGUCCCUGGGCGUGUCAUUGGCUGCUCCUGACAACUGCGAUAGCUCAACCCCGGGACUUCUCCCAGUGGGUUACCCAGGUCCACCCAGUAGCAGUGUUUCCCAGUCGUUUCCAGUCUGAGACAAAGCCACGAUCUUGCCAGAACACAGGUAGACAAGAAGCCACUGCUUUCUUGGUUCCUCAUGCUGAGUCAUCCACCAAUUCAAGAAAUGGUCCAAACACUGCUCUUUGCCACUUAUAUAACCUAUCGUUCAUGUUCAAUGAUAGCUUAGCACUUAGCACCUGGCACAGUACUUGGUAUGUGAUGCUUGUUUUCCCCCAUUAAACUUAACUAGCCAACUUGAGCUUAUAUCCUCUCAUAAAACUGCAGCUGAGGGUCAUCAGAGCUGGCUUCCUAUUACCCAGGAGUCCUGCUCCAUUUGUGCUGCUAUAACAGAAGACCAUAGAGUGGCUGGCUUAUAAACAACAGACAUUUAUUUCUCCCAGUUCUGAAGGCUGGAGCCCUAAGGUCUAGGUGCGAGCAGAUUCCAUGUCUGGUGAGGUCAAAUUUCCUGAUUCACAGUCUUUUAUCUUUUGACUGUGUCCUUACAGGGCAGAAGGGAGGUUUCUGGGGCCUCCUUUUUCAGGGCACUAAUCUGGAGCUCUCAUGACCGAAUGACUUCCCAAAGCCUCUACCUAAAGUGCCAUCACGUUGGGUGUUAGGAUUUCAACAUAUGAAUUUGUGGGGGGUACACACAUAUUCAAACGGUUGAAGGUAAGUUGAUGAAGUUGAAAGGAAUCAUGAUUUGCAGGUUACCAACCUUUUGAAUCAAAGAUUCUGUAAGAAAAAGGUACUUUUUAAGUAAACAUGAGCAGCAGAAUUUGACUUUAUACUUGAAGAGGAGGGAUCCGCUGGACCAUAAGCUUAUCACUGUGUUUCCCAGGAUGUACCUUAUCAGGUCGCUCACAAAUUACUGCUACCACCAGCAUAUUGGCCACUAGGAGGCACUGUUUCCCCUUCAGGGCUGUGGGCCAGUUACUGGCUGUGAAUCAAAUCUACAGUUGAGCCUAACUGAAGCUGGUUCUUUUUAUCUUCUAGAAAUACCGCAGGGAAAUAAACGCUGAGAGUGAUGCGGUCUUUAUGACCUGGCUUAUAAGGAGAGUGUAUUGAUUGAGAAUGUUCAUGUCUCACGGGGCGUCCUGUCUUCCUGGCUCUUGGACUUACUGAUACAGAUAGGGUCCUCUUUGCUCCCAGCAUAAAGGAAUCAUUUACCAGGCCUGGUGCAAGGGGCUGGGCAGAACAAAAUGCAAGAUCCCUUCUCAGAGUCCAGUCUAGUGGGGGGAGACACACGGCAAGGGAGAGGUCCUGACAGCCUUCCUCAGAUCCACCCUCACAGUGCCUGUCUUCUGGUUUUUAGAGUUGAGGAUAUUUCCCUUCAGAGAGCACCCACCCCAGCAGGGAGUAGCCAUUGCAGCUCACAGCACAGCCCUAACUCAUUUUGUCAGUUCAUGUAAUAGAGGGUCCGUUUGUUACAUAUGCACUUGAGUUUAUCUAUGAGAUAAUUUUCUAUUUUACGUAUACCUCGACCAAAGAGCAGCUAUGAAUAAUAACAGCUAAGAAAACCAAAUAGCUAAUUCAUUCAAUUGGGAUUAUGUUUACAUCUUUAUUCUCAAGAUUUAUUCACAAGAUACAGGAGUUCCUGUUGUGGCUCAGCGGGUUAAGUACCUGACUGGUAUCCAUGAGGAUGUGGGUUUGAUCCCUGGCCUGGCUCAGUGGGUUGGGGAUCCGGUGUUGCUGUGGCCAUGGCUUAGGCCUCAGGUGCAGCUCUCAUUAGACCUCUAGCCUGGGAAAUUCCAUAUGCCACAGGUGCAGUUGUAAAAAGAAAAAAAAAAGAUUCAAUAUUUAGACUGAAUAACAGGUUCUACUUUUGCAGGGGCGGGCGGCUGUGCUCACUGCAUGCAGAUGUUCCCGGGCCAGGCAUCAAACCCAUGCAACGGCAGUAAUCAGAGCCACAGCAGUGACAAUGUCAGAUCCUUAAUUUACUGACCCACCAGGGAAUUCCAGAUUCUACUUUCAUUAAAUCCAGUUCUGUUCUGAAUGAAUGUCAAAGUUUGAAAUAUACAAGGGUUAUUUUAAUUUUAUAAAAUUUAUAUUUGGCAAGACUAGGGCUAGUAACAUCUUUCUACAUUGGUUUGGACUCUAAUGAAGACAACUAAUAAUGACCCUUUAUAGAAGAAAUGCGAGUGGCAUCCCCAUUCACAAGUUUGAUGAUCUUUGAAAUGUUGUAGAUUUUAUCUCAGGUCCAUUCCUUCACCCUCACCUGGCUAUAAACAUGCAGGGCUGAAGGGUCUCAUGUCAUGCACAUAUCAUUAGGCUCUUCUCCCAUCAAACAUCUUUUCACAUACAUACUUGAAUGUUUAUGCUUGUCCAUUUACCUUUUGCAGUUAAGAUUGUUAGCUCUCAUGGGGUUCCCGUCAUGGCUCAGUGGUAACAAACCCUACUAGUAUCCAUGAGGGCUCAGGUUUGAUCCCUGGCCUCCCUCAGUGGGUUCAGGAUCUGGCGUUGCCAUAAGCUGUGGUGUAGGUCGCAGACUUGGCUUGGAUCCCUUGUUGCUCUGGCUGUGGUAUAGGCCAGCAGCUGCAGCUCCAAUUUGAUCCCUAGCCUGGGAACCUCCAUAUGCCAUGGGUGCAGCC